This 254-nucleotide ribosomal RNA is filed under the name uncultured bacterium. RNAcentral describes it as "partial 16S ribosomal RNA". It matches the Rfam family "Bacterial small subunit ribosomal RNA", at positions 524 to 776 of the family's 1533-position model. The record is from RNAcentral.
UACGUAGGUGGCAAGCGUUGUCCGGAUUUACUGGGCGUAAAGGAUGCGUAGGCGGACAUUUAAGUCAGAUGUGAAAUACCCGAGCUUAACUUGGGGGGCUGCAUUUGAAACUGGGUGUCUAGAGUGCAGGAGAGGUAAGUGGAAUUCCUAGUGUAGCGGUGAAAUGCGUAGAGAUUAGGAAGAACACCAGUGGCGAAGGCGACUUACUGGACUGUAACUGACGCUGAGGCAUGAAAGCGUGGGGAGCAAACAGG